GAGGAAGGGGGGGGGCGUGCUUAACACAUGCAAGUCGAACGGAAAGGCCCUGCUUUUGUGGGGUGCUCGAGUGGCGAACGGGUGAGUAACACGUGAGUAACCUGCCCUUGACUUUGGGAUAACUUCAGGAAACUGGGGCUAAUACCGGAUAGGAGCUCCUGCUGCAUGGUGGGGGUUGGAAAGUUUCGGCGGUUGGGGAUGGACUCGCGGCUUAUCAGCUUGUUGGUGGGGUAGUGGCUUACCAAGGCUUUGACGGGUAGCCGGCCUGAGAGGGUGACCGGCCACAUUGGGACUGAGAUACGGCCCAGACUCCUACGGGAGGCAGCAGUGGGGAAUAUUGCACAAUGGGCGGAAGCCUGAUGCAGCAACGCCGCGUGCGGGAUGACGGCCUUCGGGUUGUAAACCGCUUUCGCCUGUGACGAAGCGUGAGUGACGGUAAUGGGUAAAGAAGCACCGGCUAACUACGUG
RNAcentral lists this ribosomal RNA (468 nucleotides) under uncultured bacterium. Its description in RNAcentral is "partial 16S ribosomal RNA". It matches the Rfam family "Bacterial small subunit ribosomal RNA", at positions 38 to 507 of the family's 1533-position model. The record is from RNAcentral.